Lolium perenne is the source of this 427-nucleotide non-coding RNA. NCBI's taxonomy places the organism in Eukaryota, Viridiplantae, Streptophyta, Magnoliopsida, Poales, Poaceae. The record is from RefSeq and is a predicted model, not a curated record.
ACGAAAAUCCUGGAGGGAAACAUUAUAUAGUGAUUCCUCGAUUUGAUCCAUGGCUAGCUUGGUACUACAGUGCCCGGGGUCAAAGCAUCUGUGAUAACGACCUAGUGACUCUGCAUCGUUCGAGAAUCUUUUGUGGAAGAUGCGUGGGUAUGUUUACAGCUUUUAUCCCAGGCGAUCUUGAUCUGAUGAAUCUCUCUCCUUUCCAGAUGGCUAUGAAGAAAAGAACUAAUCUGUUGUAGGAUGGUUACAUUACCACAUGGGUGAGCAUAUGUUUGUUGUUGUGAUGUGCGCAAAAACAGUGUUAAUUUAUGAUUAUGGUGAGUUCCAUCUUUUUAAUAUUUGUCAUCUCUGAAAUUACAUACAACUUGUUCCCUAAUACUGUACAAAUUUAGAAAGCGGCUGACACAUGGUUGCUUCAUGGGUGUGU